This is a long non-coding RNA of Lolium perenne, 1812 nucleotides long. RefSeq lists it as uncharacterized. The record is from RefSeq and is a predicted model, not a curated record. Lineage: Eukaryota; Viridiplantae; Streptophyta; Magnoliopsida; Poales; Poaceae.
CUCGCCGCACGCUAUGCCUCCCGAUCUCUCAUCUCGCGACCUUUCGUAGACGACGACAUCGACCAUGAUGCAGCCGCUUCCCAUGGCCAUGGGGAAGGCAUGUCGCUUACCUCUGGCAGCGCGUGCUUCGCCUCCACCAACGGCUUGCACUUUGGCUCACCCAGUGCUGCUUCUCCUAUAAAACCAAUGGGGCGAUCACUGGACGGUGGCGGCGCCUGCAUAGGAUGGCGAAUGAUUUGGUGCAAAACGCCGGUUCUCUGGGAUGCGUAGGCGACUAAGAUGACACUUGGCGGCCUGCACUGAGGAGAGCGACACGAAUGCUGGAGCUUUAAUUCUUUUUCCCUGUUCCAUCAGUGCCCUGUGAUUGCUCGAGGGUUAAUUCAAUCUAUCGUUUCAAUCUCAUGCACGCAUAGUAUCUUGUUGUUGACUGAAUCUUUACUGAUUUGGGGAUUAUUUGUAGGGUUCAUACGUGAGGCUGAAUUGGGGAAGAAAGGAGCUGUCAGAUGACACGGUUCAGGUUCAGUCGGUUGGUGAAUCCAAGUGCUAUUUUCUCCGCAUGCUCUAAAUUUUUCAUUGAGAUUAAGUUUAACUGUAUCAGAAUCUUAGUGUGUAAAUAUUUUAUUCAAUUCUGAUCAAGUCAUUUGAGGAUUGAAUAUCUGUAUCCAAAUACUGAGCUAGCUUGCUCUAAAAUCAAAUUUGCAAAACCUAGGUACCUUGGAGAUUGGGAGUCAUGCUAGAUUAGUACUAUUUUUUACUCUAAAUAUUGAGUAUGUUUCCCAUAACACCGCCAAAUGCAAUAGUCUUGUGUAGUACUACCUCUGGUCGCUAAAAAUUGACGCGCCUACUCAAGUGACAACCUACAUGCCCAGGCCUCCCUCCGCGUCGAUUAAAUCCGACCAGAGGGAGUACAUGAUACUGUUUUUUUUUUGGUAUGCCUUUUUGAUCAUUUUUAUUAUUGAAAUUUUUUUUUGUCAAAGAAGAUACAUACGAAUUACCAAAAUGUCACUCUUCAGGAAAGUGCAGGAUCAUAAAAAAAACAGCCCCUUUUAGAAUCGAUCCACUAACUGUUGUUAUGUAGGCAUGUCAAGAAAACAGGCCUCAGAGUUGUAUACGCAACUAAAAGGACCUUUGGCUGUCAGUUCACAAGGAAUGGCACUUCAGGAAUGUGCACUUGCUCUUGGCAACAGAGGCACAUGCUUGUUGGAUGAAUUUUGGUGAUUAUUCUUCAAGGCAUGGAGUAAAGAAGUAUCACUAUAUCAAAGGCAGGAACUUCCCACCCUGCAAGAAAAUAAUUGCAAUGUUAUUGCGGCAGCAAAUCGAGAUGAAGGUUUUCAUCUUGCAUUACCUGGGCCUUCCGAGCAAAUCAUUUGUUGGAGGGACUUUAUCAUACACAGAUCUUGCUCUUUCAUCGGCGCUUGGUGCAGAGGUGGCGCGUGGUGAAGAGCUCAACUCCACUGAGCACCACCGCCGGCGUGGAGGAUUACGACCGCCUCGAACACGCACCAGGAGAUUAUGUAGGUCGGGAUCCAGCCCAACAUCUUCCUCUCCAACACGCUGCCGAGCACCUCGCGUUCAACGCCACCGAGCACCACCGCCAGCGUAGACGAUUUGAUCCGAUCUGGAUCUAACUUCUUGCAUCCAGGCCCUAUAAUUUUUGAGAUUAGAUUAGAGUUGAACUGAUGUAUUAGCAUCCAGGCCCCUGUAAUAUUUGAGAUAUGGAUCUCAUGUUUUUACACGCAGACCCAUGUAAUAUUUGAAAUCAACCCGCAGUUCAUAGGACGUGGUGGCCAGCAUAUACUUUUUUUAGUGAAA